This 446-nucleotide long non-coding RNA is filed under the name Bos taurus (domestic cattle). RNAcentral's name for it is "long non-coding RNA NONBTAT001175". The record is from RNAcentral. Lineage: Eukaryota; Metazoa; Chordata; Mammalia; Artiodactyla; Bovidae.
GUGCAGUGAGGCCAGCGUUCUCUGCUAGUUUCCUCCAGUUGCCCUUAGUAGAAAUUAUCAUUAUGCUUUGAAUGUAAUUCACUGCAGGCCCUGAUGCCUUACAUCACAUUUUUUUUCCAUAAAAAAGAAGACUAGUAGCUUCUAAAGCUCCUUAACUGAUACGAAACUAAGGCAUGGUACUUAAAAAAGCCCCAUGAAUGUCUAGAAUAACAUAUUUGUAUUUCUUGAUUAAUUAUAUAUGAGUAAUAACAUAGAUAUGCAUAAAAUAAAAAACACAAGUAUAUCAAUGUAAAACGCAACUUUUCAGGACUACCUUGUAUUUGGUACAUUAUAUCUAAAACUUUCCUCCUCCAUUAUUUGAAGUAUAUUUUGGAAUUAGUUCAGAUAAAGAAAAGCCCUUGGGCAUAAUUCACUAUUUAUCUAUAUACAAUAUUGAAAUACAGAUC